This 274-nucleotide ribosomal RNA is filed under the name uncultured bacterium. RNAcentral describes it as "partial 16S ribosomal RNA". It matches the Rfam family "Bacterial small subunit ribosomal RNA", at positions 523 to 796 of the family's 1533-position model. The record is from RNAcentral.
AUACGGAGGGAGCGAGCGUUAAUCGGAAUUACUGGGCGUAAAGCGCGCGUAGGCGGCUUUGUCAGUCGGAUGUGAAAGCCCUGGGCUCAACCUGGGAAUGGCAUUCGAUACUGCAGAGCUAGAGUAUGGUAGAGGGAAGUGGAAUUUCCGGUGUAGCGGUGAAAUGCGUAGAUAUCAGAAGGAACACCAGUGGCGAAGGCGACUUCCUGGGCCAAUACUGACGCUCAGGUGCGAAAGCGUGGGGAGCAAACAGGAUUAGAAACCCCAGUAGUCC